This 65-nucleotide transfer RNA is filed under the name Anaerobutyricum hallii. It matches the Rfam family "tRNA", at positions 5 to 66 of the family's 71-position model. From Rfam's summary of the family: Transfer RNA (tRNA) molecules are approximately 80 nucleotides in length. Their secondary structure includes four short double-helical elements and three loops (D, anti-codon, and T loops). RNAcentral also lists the same sequence under 5 other names. Lineage: Bacteria; Bacillati; Bacillota; Clostridia; Lachnospirales; Lachnospiraceae. The record is from RNAcentral.
CUGUAGCUCAGCUGGAUAGAGCAACGGCCUUCUAAGCCGUGGGUCGGGGGUUCGAAUCCCUCCAG